This 333-nucleotide unclassified non-coding RNA is filed under the name soil metagenome. Its description in RNAcentral is "partial contains 5.8S ribosomal RNA, internal transcribed spacer 2, and large subunit ribosomal RNA". The stretch from base 1 to 120 matches the Rfam family "5.8S ribosomal RNA", at positions 35 to 154 of the family's 154-position model. The record is from RNAcentral.
GAUGAAGAACGCAGCGAAAUGCGAUAAGUAAUGUGAAUUGCAGAAUUCAGUGAAUCAUCGAAUCUUUGAACGCACAUUGCGCCCGCCAGUAUUCUGGCGGGCAUGCCUGUUCGAGCGUCAUUUCAACCAUCAAGCCCCCGGCUUGUGUUGGGGACCUGCGGCUGCCGCAGGCCCUGAAAACCAGUGGCGGGCUCGCUAGUCACUCCGAGCGUAGUAAUACAUCUCGCUCAGGGCGUGCUGCGGGUUCCGGCCGUUAAAAGCCUUAUUUACCCAAGGUUGACCUCGGAUCAGGUAGGAAGACCCGCUGAACUUAAGCAUAUCAUAAGCGGAGGA